RNA transcript from Spinacia oleracea (spinach), 1209 nucleotides. It is a transcript of the gene named cationic amino acid transporter 1-like, with no coding region annotated. The transcript has 5 exons. The record is from RefSeq and is a predicted model, not a curated record. Lineage: Eukaryota; Viridiplantae; Streptophyta; Magnoliopsida; Caryophyllales; Amaranthaceae.
UCGUUUGCUGAAAUUCUAAAUAGUCGCAACUUUGGCCCUAUGAGAUUGCUGCAAUUAGGUUGAAACAUUCACUCACCUUCUAUUCUCGAAUUAGGUUGUACGCAAUUCACUCACCUUCAAUUCUCACCCAAUUAUGCAGAUUUAGAUCGCAUUCAAAAAAAAAAAAAAACCAGUGAAACCUAUGUUUUGCGAUUCUCCAUAGGCAAUUUCUUCCCCCUUCUACACAAAUCUUACCCCCAUUAACUCCCUUCUUCAUCUUUGGUCUGCUCCUUCGCCGCGCGGCCAUCGGAAAAGUUUCUUGCUCUCAACUCCGUGAACCCUGUUGUAGAAAAUUGGAGGGAGAAAGAUGGAUUUAUCUAGGCUUUCCCUGCAAAUAUCCGAAAUUGAGGGAAAGACAAGACUAGAUGAAGGGCAAGCUAGCACUGAUGGAGAAACUCGGAUUUUUUGGUUGAAUUUUAUUGCAAUGAUGAUGUAUGAUGCAUAUCAGACGGUCGUGCAAAGUAUAAUGAACUUGGGAUUUGUGCAUUGGUGAUAUGCUAAGGGUUUUCAAAGAUAUUCGGAGAAGCCAGAGCUAUUUCAUCCUUGUUACUACCUCCAUUUCAGAAAGUUCUUUACGCUUAGGAAAAUGUGUCCAAAGUAUAAAAACUUUGACAGUAAAUUCUCACCAUUAUAUACAUCAAAACGUUACUGGCUUACGAAACGGUCUUUGGAUGAUACAGAACUCAACCAAGUGAAGGCUGAAAGCAACCAUGAUAUGAAGAAAUCAUUAACUUGGUGGGAUCUUACUUGGUUCGGUAUUGGUGCUGGUAUCUUUGUACUUACUGGUCAAGAGGCUAAUCAAGAUGCUGGUCCUGCUGUUAUUUUAUCUUUUACUGUUUCCGGUGUCUCUGCUAUGCUCUCUGUUUUAUGUUACACCUAGUUUGCUGUUGAGAUCCCUGUUGCAGGGUUAUGUACAAAGAGAAAUGCCAUAUUCUGAUGAGGAGUUAGAAGAAACUCGAGAACAAUGGGCAAAGUAUUUUAAGGACAACUAUUUGAUGGAUGCAGGCGAAUGAGUUUGUUGUCUAGUAAUGUUAUGUUUUAUGUUUUUGUUAUGUGUUGGAUAUGACGUUGGAUGCUACUUGGAGCAUAUAUAUUGUUUUGGAACAUAUAUGUAUGUUAUGUCUUAUAUACAAGUCUUUAUAAAUUCCCGUUCUGUCCGGGUUUCUCAAA